This 828-nucleotide long non-coding RNA is filed under the name Marmota monax (woodchuck). The record is from RNAcentral. Lineage: Eukaryota; Metazoa; Chordata; Mammalia; Rodentia; Sciuridae.
UUUACCUUGCAGGCUCCAAACUCCAGCUCAGAACAAUGUGGCUUAAAGGCUGAGUUUUUUCACUCCAAAUGAGGAGCUCCAGUUGACAAGUAUCUCCAGUCUGCAGUCGCACCGUACACUGGCCCCAACCCAGGCAUCCAGACUUUUGGCUUUGGCCAGUACCGAGGCCUUCGGACUGAUUCCCCCACGAAACCCGUAUUAUUUGUGCGUUCAGGUCACAAGCAUCUGUGUGAGGAGUGUUUGAGUGGAAUCACUGCCCUCCAGGAGGCUAAGAGAUGCCAAGAACCUUAACUCGCGGGGACUGCUGCACACUUAAAAGCUCUGCUCUCCCAACAGGGCUUGCGAACAACUGGCGCUCGCGAGCCACAAGGAGGCUACGUUUUUCUCCCGUUGCUCGCUAGGGCAGUGCACUGGAAAUUGCAGAGCCUGUGUUCCGGGAGCAAGGCGGGAAAAUGAAGCUCCAGGUGGAGGAAGCCAAGAGGAAGAAAUUUACGCUUCCUGGGAAAAGUGAACCCGUGCGCAACUGGCGCGCCGCGGUCCAUCUUUAGCUUCUGCGAGAAGCUGGAAACAGAAGAGACGCCUUUGCAGGGGGACAAACAGAAGGAUGCGGGUUGUAGGUGGCAACUAAGGGUCGGUGUGUAGAGUUAAGGGCGGUGUUCCGUCUCUUUACAUCCCUCCUAGCUGGGUUUCCCACCUUUCCUGCCCAACUCGGUUUCCUAGCAGGUCUCAUACUGCAAGUCUAGUGAAACGCUGUUGAGAGCCUGUACUAGGUGCAGAAAGACACUCCCUUCGGUGACCACCAGACCAACCAGACUUGAAGGCAGACGG